GAUGAACGCUAGCUACAGGCUUAACACAUGCAAGUCGAGGGGAAACGAUAGAGAAAGCUUGCUUUUUCUAGGCGUCGACCGGCGCACGGGUGAGUAACGCGUAUCCAACCUGCCCAUCACUUGGGGAUAACCUUGCGAAAGUAAGACUAAUACCCAAUGACGUCUCUAGAAGACAUCUGAAAGAGAUUAAAGAUUUAUCGGUGAUGGAUGGGGAUGCGUCUGAUUAGCUUGUUGGCGGGGUAACGGCCCACCAAGGCGACGAUCAGUAGGGGUUCUGAGAGGAAGGUCCCCCACAUUGGAACUGAGACACGGUCCAAACUCCUACGGGAGGCAGCAGUGAGGAAUAUUGGUCAAUGGACGAGAGUCUGAACCAGCCAAGUAGCGUGCAGGAUGACGGCCCUAUGGGUUGUAAACUGCUUUUAUAAGGGAAUAAAGUGAGUCUCGUGAGACUUUUUGCAUGUACCUUAUGAAUAAGGACCGGCUAAUUCCGUGCCAGCAGCCGG
Molecule: ribosomal RNA, 503 nt
Filed under: uncultured bacterium
Lineage: Bacteria
Description: bacterial SSU rRNA
Rfam family: Bacterial small subunit ribosomal RNA
Source: RNAcentral